AGGAACUUGCUCUUCGGGUGACGAGCGGCGGACGGGUGAGUAAUGUCUGGGAAACUGCCUGAUGGAGGGGGAUAACUACUGGAAACGGUAGCUAAUACCGCAUAACGUCUUCGGACCAAAGAGGGGGACCUUCGGGCCUCUUGCCAUCAGAUGUGCCCAGAUGGGAUUAGCUAGUAGGUGAGGUAAUGGCUCACCUAGGCGACGAUCCCUAGCUGGUCUGAGAGGAUGACCAGCCACACUGGAACUGAGACACGGUCCAGACUCCUACGGGAGGCAGCAGUGGGGAAUAUUGCACAAUGGGCGCAAGCCUGAUGCAGCCAUGCCGCGUGUGUGAAGAAGGCCUUCGGGUUGUAAAGCACUUUCAGCGGGGAGGAAGGCGGUGAGGUUAAUAACCUCAUCGAUUGACGUUACCCGCAGAAGAAGCACCGGCUAACUCCGUGCCAGCAGCCGCGGUAAUACGGAGGGUGCAAGCGUUAAUCGGAAUGACUGGGCGUAAAGCGCACGCAGGCGGUUUGUUAAGUCAGAUGUGAAAUCCCCGAGCUUAACUUGGGAACUGCAUUUGAAACUGGCAAGCUAGAGUCUUGUAGAGGGGGGUAGAAUUCCAGGUGUAGCGGUGAAAUGCGUAGAGAUCUGGAGGAAUACCGGUGGCGAAGGCGGCCCCCUGGACAAAGACUGACGCUCAGGUGCGAAAGCGUGGGGAGCAAACAGGAUUAG
This 714-nucleotide ribosomal RNA is filed under the name Pectobacterium carotovorum subsp. carotovorum. Its description in RNAcentral is "bacterial SSU rRNA". It matches the Rfam family "Bacterial small subunit ribosomal RNA", at positions 74 to 781 of the family's 1533-position model. The record is from RNAcentral. Lineage: Bacteria; Pseudomonadati; Pseudomonadota; Gammaproteobacteria; Enterobacterales; Pectobacteriaceae.